This 386-nucleotide ribosomal RNA is filed under the name uncultured bacterium. RNAcentral's name for it is "bacterial SSU rRNA". It matches the Rfam family "Bacterial small subunit ribosomal RNA", at positions 30 to 420 of the family's 1533-position model. The record is from RNAcentral.
AUUGAACGCUGGCGGCAUGCCUUACACAUGCAAGUCGAACGGUAACGGGCCUUCGGGUGCCGACGAGUGGCGAACGGGUGAGUAAUGCAUCGGAACGUACCUUUCAGUGGGGGAUAACGUAGCGAAAGUUACGCUAAUACCGCAUAUUCUGUGAGCAGGAAAGCAGGGGAUCGCAAGACCUUGCGCUGAUUGAGCGGCCGAUGUCAGAUUAGCUAGUUGGUGAGGUAAAGGCUCACCAAGGCGACGAUCUGUAGCGGGUCUGAGAGGAUGAUCGCCACACUGGAACUGAGACACGGUCCAGACUCCUACGGGAGGCAGCAGUGGGAAUUUUGGACAAUGGGGGCAACCCUGAUCCAGCCAUGCCGCGUGAGUGAAGAAGGCCUCGG